CCGUCUUGAAACACGGACCAAGGAGUGCAACAUGUGCGCGAGCCCUUUGGCGAGCAAACCAGAAGGCGCAAUGAAAGUGAAGGCACGGUCGCCGUGCUGAGGUGAGCGCUGUCCCGAAGGCAGCACAUCAUCGACCGAUCCCAUUCGCACUCUCGGGUGCGGAGGGAUUCGAGUAAGAGCGUACCUGUUGCGACCCGAAAGAUGGUGAACUAUGCCUGAAUAGGGUGAAGCCAGAGGAAACUCUGGUGGAGGCCCGUAGCGAUUCUGACGUGCAAAUCGAUCGUCAAAUUUGGGUAUAGGGGCGAAAGACUAAUCGAACCAUCUAGUAGCUGGUUCCCUCCGAAGUUUCCCUUAGGAUAGCUGUAGCCCUAAGCAGUUUUAUCAGGUAAAGCGAAUGAUUAGAGGUAUCGGGGAAGAAACUUCCUCGACCUAUUCUCAAACUUUAAAUAGGUAAGAAGUCCGACUUGCUCAAUUUGAAGCCGGACACAGAAUGCUGGGUUACUAGUGGGCCAUUUUUGGUAAGCAGAACUGGCGAUGCGGGAUGAACCGAACGCCGAGUUAAGGUGCCAAAGUCGACGCUCAUCAGAUCCCACAAAAGGUGUUGGUUGAUAUAGACAGCAGGACGGUGGCCAUGGAAGUCGGAAUCCGCUAAGGAGUGUGUAACAACUCACCUGCCGAAUCAACUAGCCCUGAAAAUGGAUGGCGCUUA
RNAcentral lists this ribosomal RNA (709 nucleotides) under Hyrtios erectus. RNAcentral's name for it is "eukaryotic LSU rRNA". It matches the Rfam family "Eukaryotic large subunit ribosomal RNA", at positions 649 to 1331 of the family's 3401-position model. Lineage: Eukaryota; Metazoa; Porifera; Demospongiae; Dictyoceratida; Thorectidae. The record is from RNAcentral.